RNAcentral lists this transfer-messenger RNA (378 nucleotides) under Alicyclobacillaceae. RNAcentral's name for it is "Alicyclobacillus_B ferrooxydans Standard tmRNA". It matches the Rfam family "transfer-messenger RNA". Rfam says of the family: Bacterial tmRNA, also known as 10Sa RNA or SsrA, is named for its dual tRNA and mRNA-like properties. Its role is to liberate the mRNA from a stalled ribosome. The record is from RNAcentral. RNAcentral also lists the same sequence under 1 other name. Lineage: Bacteria; Bacillati; Bacillota; Bacilli; Caryophanales.
GGGGGCGUUUUGGAUUCGACGGGGAUUGUUCGAGCAUGAAUAGCGGGUCGUGGGGCCGCGAGGCCACGUAAAAAACGCGGACCUAAAUUUAACUGGCAAAACUAAGAAAAGCUUUACCUCAAACAGCAACCUCGCCCUCGCUGCUUAAUUGCAGUUAGGCCGUCAUCUUGUCUGUCUCCCGUGCAGACUUGGUGACGUCAACUUAGCGGGAUAGUCGGCGGCACGUGCUCGUGGGCCACCGGCGAAACUUAACGAGCUGACCAUUUCGCAAGCGCGUGUGUCCGCGUGCGGAUGGGACAUGUAAAAGACGCACUACACCCGUAGAAGUUCAUGUCGCGAGGUCUUCGGACGCGGGUUCGACUCCCGUCGCCUCCACCA